Molecule: non-coding RNA, 404 nt
Organism: Pelobates cultripes (western spadefoot toad)
Lineage: Eukaryota; Metazoa; Chordata; Amphibia; Anura; Pelobatidae
Source: the annotation of a GenBank genome assembly
GUUUGAACACUCAUUUUUGUGUUCAAGAACAGUUCACAAGGAGUGCACCUAUAAUGCAAAAAUUGUAUUGGAACUUGAAAACUCUGAUUGCUUACAGGUCAAUACUCUAAAAUGACGUCAUGAUUCCCUUUUAUUCCAGAAGUGUGGUCCUUAAGGGGUUAAACACCUCUUUUCGAGGUAAUGUGCAGACAGUGGAUACAUUUGGGGUAACCUUAAACUGGGUCUCUCUUGGAACUCCUAUUAUCCUGUGUUGGUGGCAGUCAAAAUGCCAGUCCUGUUGAAUCACCCAUGGGCACCGAUGUCAAGGUUACAGACGUUCAGGAGCACGGAGAUGUCACUUCUCUGGAAAUUACAAUUCUUCUUUAAACACUUUUGUGUUGGUUUAAAAAAUGCAACAAAUUGGG